This 476-nucleotide ribosomal RNA is filed under the name uncultured bacterium. RNAcentral describes it as "bacterial SSU rRNA". It matches the Rfam family "Bacterial small subunit ribosomal RNA", at positions 505 to 979 of the family's 1533-position model. The record is from RNAcentral.
GUGCCAGCAGCCGCGGUAAUACGGGGGGGACAAGCGUUGUUCGGAUUUACUGGGCGUAAAGGGCGCGUAGGCGGACUGACAAGUCGGAAGUGAAAACCGGCAGCUUAACUGCAGGCUUGCUCUCGAUACUGUCAGUCUUGAGUACGGAAGAGGAAAGCGGAAUUCCAGGUGUAGCGGUGAAAUGCGUAGAUAUCUGGAAGAACACCAGUAGCGAAGGCGGCUUUCUGGUCCGAAACUGACGCUAAAGCGCAAAGGCUAGGGGAGCAAACAGGAUUAGAUACCCUGGUAGUCCUAGCGGUAAACGAUGGGUACUAGGUGUCGGAGGUAUCGACCCCUUCGGUGCCGAAGUUAACGCAUUAAGUACCCCGCCUGGGGAGUACGGUCGCAAGACUGAAACUCAAAGGAAUUGACGGGGGCCCGCACAAGCGGUGGAGUAUGUGGUUUAAUUCGAGGCAACGCGAAGAACCUUACCUGGG